AAGUCGUAACAAGGUUUCCGUAGGUGAACCUGCGGAAGGAUCAUUAACACGUAUCCACGUAUCCACCCAAAGGCAACGCGUUUUCAUUCUCCCUCUAUAGCAGAGAACGAGUCGAGUCCACAGUAAAGUAUGAGUGGGGUCCGCAAGGGCCGAUUCGCUGUUCACCAACUGAGUCCGCAAGGCCUCGACGACUGCAUCUCUGUGGAGGCUAAUUUCUUUACUACUUGGGUUCCCAACUCUGCCGUGGUAGUAAGGAGCACUUCUCUAAAACCUAUCUCACCCCUUUUUGCUAGUUGACUUUUAUAUGUUGUUACUUGCGCUUUGCGCAUGGAGCACACGUUUAAUUAUUUGAACGUUAAAAAUACAACUCUUAGCAAUGGAUAUCUUGGUUCUC
This 394-nucleotide unclassified non-coding RNA is filed under the name fungal sp. Its description in RNAcentral is "partial internal transcribed spacer region". The stretch from base 1 to 46 matches the Rfam family "Eukaryotic small subunit ribosomal RNA", at positions 1786 to 1831 of the family's 1831-position model. Lineage: Eukaryota; Fungi. The record is from RNAcentral.